RNAcentral lists this long non-coding RNA (249 nucleotides) under Lotus japonicus. RNAcentral's name for it is "long non-coding RNA (LJAP_LNC000105)". The record is from RNAcentral. Lineage: Eukaryota; Viridiplantae; Streptophyta; Magnoliopsida; Fabales; Fabaceae.
ACGAAAACACCACCCACUAAUUGCCUUCAAGGUAUGCUCCAAAAAGUGCCAGAAUAUAGCCAUGUUGCUCCUUGAAAUGAUCAGCAUUCCAAUAGCAAACAGUUGAGAAAUAACCAAUUCCUGCAAGCUCAAACAGAUGUACUACUCCACCGUACAAAUGCAAUGAUAAUCUUUUGGUCCUUUGGCAAGAUAACAAAAUAAUCCCAUCCAAAAUACUAGUCUGCCACACGUUGGCACCCUCAACAAAAC